This 259-nucleotide ribosomal RNA is filed under the name Staphylococcus aureus. RNAcentral describes it as "partial 23S ribosomal RNA". It matches the Rfam family "Bacterial large subunit ribosomal RNA", at positions 728 to 985 of the family's 2925-position model. The record is from RNAcentral. Lineage: Bacteria; Bacillati; Bacillota; Bacilli; Caryophanales; Staphylococcaceae.
AUCUACCCUUGGUCAGGUUGAAGUUCAGGUAACACUGAAUGGAGGACCGAACCGACUUACGUUGAAAAGUGAGCGGAUGAACUGAGGGUAGCGGAGAAAUUCCAAUCGAACCUGGAGAUAGCUGGUUCUCUCCGAAAUAGCUUUAGGGCUAGCCUCAAGUGAUGAUUAUUGGAGGUAGAGCACUGUUUGGACGAGGGGCCCCUCUCGGGUUACCGAAUUCAGACAAACUCCGAAUGCCAAUUAAUUUAACUUGGGAGUC